AUGACAAACAUAAAGAGAAAAACACAAGGUACCUGCUAUAUGUUUUUCAGGCCUUUUGGAAAACAUGGAGUUGCUCCUUUAGGUACAUAAGUGGGAAUCUACAAGAAAGGUGAUAUUGUAGACAUCAAGGGAAUAGAUAUUGUUCAAAACGGAAUGCCCUGCAAGAGUUGCCAUCCAAAACUGGAAGAGUCUACAAUGUUCCCCAGCAUGCUGCUGGCAAUGUUGUCAGCAAACAAGGUAAGGGCAAGGUUCUUGCCAAGCGAAUUAAUAUACAUGUUCAGCAUUUUAAGCACUUGAAGAGCCAAGAUAGCAUCCUGAAACAUGUGAAAGAAAAUAAUCAGAAAAAGAAGGAAGCCGAAGACAAAGAGAAAGGUACCUGGGUUCAAGGGAAGCCCCAGCCUGCUUCGAGAAGCACACUUUGUGAGACCCAGUGGAAAGUAGCCUGAGCUGCUGGAGCCCAUUCCGUACGAAUUCACAGCAG
Molecule: long non-coding RNA, 481 nt
Filed under: Homo sapiens (human)
Lineage: Eukaryota; Metazoa; Chordata; Mammalia; Primates; Hominidae
Description: non-protein coding lnc-KLF12-6:1
Source: RNAcentral